RNAcentral lists this ribosomal RNA (253 nucleotides) under uncultured bacterium. Its description in RNAcentral is "partial 16S ribosomal RNA". It matches the Rfam family "Bacterial small subunit ribosomal RNA", at positions 524 to 776 of the family's 1533-position model. The record is from RNAcentral.
UACAGAGGUCCCAAGCGUUGUUCGGAUUCACUGGGCGUAAAGGGUGCGUAGGUGGUUGGGUAAGUCUGAUGUGAAAUCUCCGGGCUCAACCCGGAAAUGGCAUUGGAUACUAUCCAGCUGGAGGGUCGGAGGGGGGACUGGAAUUCUUGGUGUAGCAGUGAAAUGCGUAGAUAUCAAGAGGAACACCAGUGGCGAAGGCGAGUCCCUGGACGACUCCUGACACUGAGGCACGAAAGCUAGGGGAGCAAACAGG